CGGGACACGUGGUAUCCUGUCUGAAUAUGGGGGGACCAUCCUCCAAGGCUAAAUACUCCUGACUGACCGAUAGUGAACCAGUACCGUGAGGGAAAGGCGAAAAGAACCCCGGCGAGGGGAGUGAAAAAGAACCUGAAACCGUGUACGUACAAGCAGUGGGAGCACAGAGCAAUCUGUGUGACUGCGUACCUUUUGUAUAAUGGGUCAGCGACUUAUAUUCUGUAGCAAGGUUAACCGAAUAGGGGAGCCGAAGGGAAACCGAGUCUUAACUGGGCGUUAAGUUGCAGGGUAUAGACCCGAAACCCGGUGAUCUAGCCAUGGGCAGGUUGAAGGUUGGGUAACACUAACUGGAGGACCGAACCGACUAAUGUUGAAAAAUUAGCGGAUGACUUGUGGCUGGGGGUGAAAGGCCAAUCAAACCGGGAGAUAGCUGGUUCUCCCCGAAAGCUAUUUAGGUAGCGCCUCGUGAAUUCAUCUCCGGGGGUAGAGCACUGUUUCGGCAAGGGGGUCAUCCCGAC
This 518-nucleotide ribosomal RNA is filed under the name Escherichia coli. RNAcentral's name for it is "partial 23S ribosomal RNA". It matches the Rfam family "Bacterial large subunit ribosomal RNA", at positions 418 to 935 of the family's 2925-position model. Lineage: Bacteria; Pseudomonadati; Pseudomonadota; Gammaproteobacteria; Enterobacterales; Enterobacteriaceae. The record is from RNAcentral.